This 494-nucleotide ribosomal RNA is filed under the name uncultured bacterium. Its description in RNAcentral is "partial 16S ribosomal RNA". It matches the Rfam family "Bacterial small subunit ribosomal RNA", at positions 28 to 507 of the family's 1533-position model. The record is from RNAcentral.
GACGAACGCUGGCGGCGUGCUUAACACAUGCAAGUCGAACGGAAAGGCCUGCUUUCCCUUGUGGAUUGCGGGUACUCGAGUGGCGAACGGGUGAGUAACACGUGAGUGAUCUGCCCCCAACUUGGGUAUAAGCCUGGGAAACUGGGUCUAACUCCCGAUAGGACUGCAGGGUGGUGCCUGUGGUGGAAAACGAUUUUCUAGUGGUUGGGGAUGAGCUCGCGGCCUAUCAGCUUGUUGGUGGGGUAAUGGCCUACCAAGGCGGCGACGGGUAGCCGGCCUGAGAGGGUGGACGGCCACAUUGGGACUGAGAUACGGCCCAGACGCCUACGGGAGGCAGCAGUGGGGAAUAUUGCACAAUGGGCGGAAGCCUGAUGCAGCGACGCCGCGUGGGGGAUGACGGCCUUCGGGUUGUAAACUCCUUUCGACCGCGAGGAAGCCACCUGGUUGGAAGGGUGGUGACGGUAGUGGUAGAAGAAGCACCGGCUAACUACGUG